This 262-nucleotide long non-coding RNA is filed under the name Carica papaya (papaya). Its description in RNAcentral is "long non-coding RNA (CPAP_LNC006430)". The record is from RNAcentral. Lineage: Eukaryota; Viridiplantae; Streptophyta; Magnoliopsida; Brassicales; Caricaceae.
UCAUUCUAAAAAUCUGUGGUAAUAAUCUACCAUUCCCAAAAAGUUACGAAUCUCCUUAAUCAAAGUCAAUUUUUCUUAAUCGAGUAUUGACUCAACCUUCUCGAGAUACACUAACACCUAUUAUUUGAUAUUUUGUGCACUAGGAAGGUAGUCUUCUAGAGCUAAAACUUACACCUGCUCAAUUUUGCAUACAAUUUCUUUUUCCUAAGAACCUAUAAAACAUGAGUCAGGUGAUGAACGUGUUUUUCUCUGCUCUUUAAAU